RNAcentral lists this ribosomal RNA (443 nucleotides) under uncultured bacterium. Its description in RNAcentral is "partial 16S ribosomal RNA". It matches the Rfam family "Bacterial small subunit ribosomal RNA", at positions 338 to 795 of the family's 1533-position model. The record is from RNAcentral.
CCUACGUGUGGCAGCAGUGGGGAAUAUUGGGCAAUGGGCGCAAGCCUGACCCAGCAACGCCGCGUGAAGGAAGAAGGCUUUCGGGUUGUAAACUUCUUUUGUCAGGGACGAAGCAAGUGACGGUACCCACAGAGGAAGCACCGGCUAACUCCGUGCCAGCAGCCGCGGUAAUACGGGGGGUGAAAGCGUUGUCCGGAAUCAUUGGGCGUAAAGAGUUCGUAGGUGGCACGUUAAGUCUGGUGUGAAAGGCGGAAGCUCAACUUCCGUAGGGCACUGGAUACUGGCGAGCUUGGAUGCGGUAGAGGUAAAGGGAAUUCCUGGUGUAGCGGUGAAAUGCGUAGAUAUCAGGAGGAACAUCGGUGGCGUAAGCGCUUUACUGGGCCGUAAUUGACACUGAGGAACGAAAGCCGGGGUAGCAAAUGGGAUUAGAUACCCUGGUAGUC